CUACGUGCCAGCAGCCGCGGUAAUACGUAGGGCGCGAGCGUUGUCCGGAAUUAUUGGGCGUAAAGAGCUUGUAGGCGGUUUGUCGCGUCUGCUGUGAAAGGCCGGGGCUUAACCCCGUGUAUUGCAGUGGGUACGGGCAGACUAGAGUGCAGUAGGGGAGACUGGAAUUCCUGGUGUAGCGGUGGAAUGCGCAGAUAUCAGGAGGAACACCGAUGGCGAAGGCAGGUCUCUGGGCUGUAACUGACGCUGAGAAGCGAAAGCAUGGGGAGCGAACAGGAUUAGAUACCCUGGUAGUCCAUGCCGUAAACGUUGGGCACUAGGUGUGGGGGACAUUCCACGUUUUCCGCGCCGUAGCUAACGCAUUAAGUGCCCCGCCUGGGGAGUACGGCCGCAAGGCUAAAACUCAAAGAAAUUGGCGGGGGCCCGCACAAGCGGCGGAGCAUGCGGAUUAAUUCGAAGCAACGCGAAGAACCUUACCAGGUCUUGACAUCCCUCUGACCGCUCUAGAGAUAGAGCUUUC
RNAcentral lists this ribosomal RNA (520 nucleotides) under uncultured bacterium. Its description in RNAcentral is "bacterial SSU rRNA". It matches the Rfam family "Bacterial small subunit ribosomal RNA", at positions 501 to 1016 of the family's 1533-position model. The record is from RNAcentral.